CUUUCAUUUAAUGGCAGGUGAAAAAACCUAAAUAUAUCAUUGUAUAAGCGCCUGUCUUGUUAAUAUCUAAUUAUUUUUCUAAUUCGCAAUGUAUCUGACAAGUGUGUUCUUAAAAUAUUGGUAUUCCGAGCUGACAAUACAUCUUUAGAUGCUAUGUGUGGUAGUAGUGAUAGCUAUAUCAUUGGAGAUGGUGACGGCAGCGCCACAAGGGCUAUCACUCCCAGUUAUUCAGCUAGUGCAAGGACUCGUGCAAAACGUCGGUAAACUAUUGACACAACUAAUAAUGCCUGUUAUGAUGUGGUUGAUGAACUUGCUUAAGUCUUUAAUAUAAUAAAUAAAUCGAUUUGCAAAGCGUG
This is a long non-coding RNA of Manduca sexta (tobacco hornworm), 356 nucleotides long. RefSeq lists it as uncharacterized. NCBI's taxonomy places the organism in Eukaryota, Metazoa, Arthropoda, Insecta, Lepidoptera, Sphingidae. The transcript has 2 exons. The record is from RefSeq and is a predicted model, not a curated record.